Molecule: long non-coding RNA, 413 nt
Filed under: Mus pahari (shrew mouse)
Lineage: Eukaryota; Metazoa; Chordata; Mammalia; Rodentia; Muridae
Description: lncRNA (MGP_PahariEiJ_G0002726.1)
Source: RNAcentral
UGACUUCACCAGGAGGUUCUCCCUAAAUAGGUACUCUUCGGGCUCCGGAGCAGUAGUUCCCGGAUCCCACAAAAUCCUGGGAGAAGGCGGAGGGCGAGCUGCUAGGGCACUAAUGCAGAGCCAUGGUCAGAGGUAGGACUGGGGUCCACGAUGCCUCCUUUCUUUGCUGCGAUGGUAGAGAGCAAACGGUGGAAGCUUCUCUUAAGAUUCGUUCCUGUGGGCUUCGAUAAGAAGUUUGCCUGCCCCUGACUGGUUGCUCUCCUGAGAGCCCACCACUUCGGUUGGGACAGCCUCCGAGACCAACGCAAGGUAAUGAAUGCAUCCUGAGCGCUUAGUCAGGAUAUGCCGCCGUGUCCCCGCAAACAACAACUACUGAAACAAAAAACAAAACAAAACAAAAGAUAGAAAUCAAG